AGCCUUACGUGACCAUGACAUAUAUUCUAACCUCAAUAUUCGUCAACUUUAAUGCUUAAUAUCUCGGUUCGUGGAGCAGAGCGGCGUUUAUUUCUGCCAGAUUCUUUCGUUUUAUGGAAAAACGCGUCGAAUGAGUAUAAUUUAAUCGAUUUUUGAGACGGUUAUCUUUCAUUGCACCUUUACCACCAGACGAACCGAGAAUCCAGAAAUAAAUUCAGUGUCCAAGUAUCACAAGGAGUGACAGGAUACAAGACGAAACAAAAAAUCGAUUAAAGCGAACCCUCAUACAAUGGAUAGCACAAUCUCAUCAUCUAUGCAAUCUUCUAUUGGGCCAUUCACACAGGAACGAGAACUGAUACUUUACAAAAACAUAAAGAUGCAUCUGCAAGAAAUUGAAAUAGCCACACAGAAUAUUAAUCAGCAAUUCAAAAAUAUUCAUAAAGAAAUGCUUGUCACGACAGCUUUGAUAAAUGCGAUUGAAUCAAAAAGGAUUGAGGAAAUUAAUACGGAUUAAUAUAUUUACAAAGUAUUAGGAAAUACAGCAGUAUAUCU
Molecule: long non-coding RNA, 552 nt
Organism: Cyphomyrmex costatus
Lineage: Eukaryota; Metazoa; Arthropoda; Insecta; Hymenoptera; Formicidae
Exons: 3
Source: RefSeq, a predicted model, not a curated record